RNAcentral lists this ribosomal RNA (194 nucleotides) under Nectria sp. (in: ascomycete fungi). RNAcentral describes it as "Nectria sp. (in: Fungi) partial small subunit ribosomal RNA". It matches the Rfam family "Eukaryotic small subunit ribosomal RNA", at positions 1334 to 1552 of the family's 1831-position model. Lineage: Eukaryota; Fungi; Ascomycota; Sordariomycetes; Hypocreales; Nectriaceae. The record is from RNAcentral.
AACGAGACCUUAACCUGCUGCCUUGCUGGUUUUGCUUUGUCAGUACGCUGGCUUCUUAGAGGGACUAUCGGCUCAAGCCGAUGGAAGUUUGAGGCAAUAACAGGUCUGUGAUGCCCUUAGAUGUUCUGGGCCGCACGCGCGCUACACUGACGGAGCCAGCGAGUUCUCCCUUGACCGGAAGGUCCGGGUAAUCU